UAGGGAAUCUUCGGCAAUGGACGAAAGUCUGACCGAGCAACGCCGCGUGAGUGAAGAAGGUUUUCGGAUCGUAAAACUCUGUUGUUAGAGAAGAACAAGGACGUUAGUAACUGAACGCCCCCUGACGGUAUCUAACCAGAAAGCCACGGCUAACUACGUGCCAGCAGCCGCGGUAAUACGUAGGUGGCAAGCGUUGUCCGGAUUUAUUGGGCGUAAAGCGAGCGCAGGCGGUUUCUUAAGUCUGAUGUGAAAGCCCCCGGCUCAACCGGGGAGGGUCAUUGGAAACUGGGAGACUUGAGUGGAGAAGAGGAGAGUGGAAUUCCGUGUGUAGCGGUGAAAUGCGUAGAUAUAUGGAGGAACACCAGUGGCGAAGGCGGCGCUCUGGUCUGUACCUGACGCUGAGGCUCGAAAGCGUGGGGAGCAAACAGG
RNAcentral lists this ribosomal RNA (429 nucleotides) under Gemmatimonadota bacterium. RNAcentral describes it as "Gemmatimonadetes bacterium partial 16S ribosomal RNA". It matches the Rfam family "Bacterial small subunit ribosomal RNA", at positions 355 to 776 of the family's 1533-position model. The record is from RNAcentral. Lineage: Bacteria; Pseudomonadati; Gemmatimonadota.